UAGUCAUAUGCUUGUCUUAAAGAUUAAACCAUGCAUGUCUAAGUAUAAGCAAUUAUACCGCGAAACUGCGAAUGGCUCAUUAUAUAAGUUAUCGUUUAUUUGAUAGUACCUUACUACUUGGAUAACCGUGGUAAUUCUAGAGCUAAUACAUGCUAAAAAUCCCGACUUUGGAAGGGAUGUAUUUAUUAGAUUAAAAACCAAUGCCCUUCGGGGCUCACUGGUGAUUCAUGAUAACUCCUCGAAUCGCAUGGCCUUGUGCCGGCGAUGGUUCAUUCAAAUUUUUUCCCUACCAACUUUCGAUGUUUGGGUAUUGGCCCAACAUGGUUGCAACGGGUAACGGAGGGUUAGGGCUUGACCCCGGAGAAGGAGCCUGAGAAACGGCUACUACAUCCAAGGAAGGCAGCAGGCGCGCAAAUUACCCAAUCCCGACACGGGGAGGUAGUGACAAUAAAUACUGAUACAGGGCUCUUUUGGGUCUUGUAAUUGGAAUGAGUACAAUUUAAAUCCCUUAACGAGGAACAAUU
Molecule: ribosomal RNA, 524 nt
Filed under: uncultured eukaryote
Lineage: Eukaryota
Description: SSU rRNA
Rfam family: Eukaryotic small subunit ribosomal RNA
Source: RNAcentral